GACGAACGCUGGCGGCGUGCUUAACACAUGCAAGUCGAACGGAAAGGCCCUGCUUUCGUGGGGUGCUCGAGUGGCGAACGGGUGAGUAACACGUGAGUAACCUGCCCUUGACUGUGGGAUAACUUCAGGAAACUGGUGCUAAUACAGGCUAGGAGCUCCUGCUGCAUGGUGGGGGUUGGAACGUUUCGGCGGUUGUGGAUGGACUGGGGGCUUAUCAGCUUGUUGGUGGGGUAGUGGCUUACCAAGGGUUUGACAGGUAGCCGGCCUGGGAGGGUGAACGGCCACAUUGGGACUGAGAGACGGCGCAGACUGCUACGGGAGGCAGCAGUGGGGAAUAUUGCACAAUGGGCGGAAGCGUGAUGCAGCAACGCCGCGUGUGGGAUGACGGCCUUCGGGUUGUAAACCGCAGUCGCCUGUGACGAAGCGGGAGUGACGGUAAUAGGUGAAGAAGCACCGGCUAACUACGUG
This 468-nucleotide ribosomal RNA is filed under the name uncultured bacterium. Its description in RNAcentral is "partial 16S ribosomal RNA". It matches the Rfam family "Bacterial small subunit ribosomal RNA", at positions 28 to 507 of the family's 1533-position model. The record is from RNAcentral.